RNAcentral lists this ribosomal RNA (439 nucleotides) under uncultured bacterium. RNAcentral's name for it is "partial 16S ribosomal RNA". It matches the Rfam family "Bacterial small subunit ribosomal RNA", at positions 339 to 795 of the family's 1533-position model. The record is from RNAcentral.
CUACGGGCUGCAGCAGUGAGGACUAUUGCACAGUGGGGGGAACCCUGAUGCAGCAACGCCGCGUGGAGGAUGACGCAUUUCGGUGUGUAAACUCCUUUUAUAUGUCAAGAAAAUGACGGUAGCAUAUGAAUAAGCACCGGCUAACUCCGUGCCAGCAGCCGCGGUAAUACGGAGGGUGCAAGCAUUACUCGGAAUCACUGGGCGUAAAGGACGCGUAGGCGGGUUGGAAAGUCAGGUGUGAAAUCCUACAGCUUAACUGUAGAACUGCACUUGAAACUUCUAAUCUAGAGUAUGGGAGGGGGAGAUGGAAUUAGUGGUGUAGGGGUAAAAUCCGUAGAUAUCACUAGGAAUACCUAAAGCGAAGGCGAUCUCCUGGAACAUUACUGACGCUAAGGCGUGAAAGCGUGGGGAGCAAACAGGAUUAGAUACCCCGGUAGUC